Molecule: ribosomal RNA, 297 nt
Filed under: uncultured bacterium
Lineage: Bacteria
Description: partial 16S ribosomal RNA
Rfam family: Bacterial small subunit ribosomal RNA
Source: RNAcentral
GCCUACGGGGGGCAGCAGUGAGGAAUAUUGGUCAAUGGGCGGGAGCCUGAACCAGCCAAGUCGCGUGAGGGAAGACGGUCCUACGGAUUGUAAACCUCUUUUGCCGGGGAGCAACGGGGUCCUUGCGAGGUCCCAAUGAGAGUACCCGGAGAAAAAGCAUCGGCUAACUCCGUGCCAGCAGCCGCGGUAAUACGGAGGAUGCGAGCGUUAUCCGGAUUUAUUGGGUUUAAAGGGUGCGUAGGCGGUUUGAUAAGUUAGAGGUGAAAUGUCGGGGCUCAACCCCGAAACUGCCUCUAA